Molecule: ribosomal RNA, 476 nt
Filed under: uncultured bacterium
Lineage: Bacteria
Description: bacterial SSU rRNA
Rfam family: Bacterial small subunit ribosomal RNA
Source: RNAcentral
ACUCCUACGGGAGGCAGCAGUGGGGAAUUUUUCGCAAUGGGGGAAACCCUGACGAAGCAACGCCGCGUGGAUGAUGAAGUAUCUUGGUACGUAAAAUCCUUUCGACGGGGAAGAAAGCCGCAAGGUUUGACGGUACCCGUAGAAGAAGCCCCGGCUAACUCCGUGCCAGCAGCCGCGGUAAUACGGGGGGGGCAAGCGUUGUUCGGAAUUACUGGGCGUAAAGGGCGCGUAGGCGGUCUGCUAAGUUGGAUGUGAAAACUCUGGGCUUAACCCAGAGCCUGCAUUCAAUACUGACAGGCUAGAGUUCUGGAGGGGAUAGCGGAAUUCCUGGUGUAGCGGUGAAAUGCGUAGAUAUCAGGAGGAACACCGGUGGCGAAGGCGGCUAUCUGGACAGAGUCUGACGCUGAGGCGCGAAAGCUAGGGGAGCAAACAGGAUUAGAUACCCUGGUAGUCCUAGCCCUAAACGAUGGAUACUU